AAUUGGAGGGCAAGUCUGGGGUAGCAGCCGCGGUAAUUCCAGCUCCAAUAGCGUAUAUUAAAGUUGUUGCAGUUAAAAAGCUCGUAGUUGAAUUUCGGGAUCAGUACGCUGGUCGUGCCUCCGGUAUGUACUGGUGUCACUGAUUCCUCCCUUCUGAAGAACCAUCAUGCCAUUAAUUUGGUGUGGUGGGGAAUCAGGACUGUUACUUUGAAAAAAUUAGAGUGUUUAAAGCAGGCUCGCGCUUGAAUACAUUAGCAUGGAAUAAUGAAAUAGGACGUUUAUCCUAUUUUGUUGGUUUCUAGGAUUGACGUAAUGAUUAAUAGGGAUAGUUGGGGGCAUUAGUAUUCAAUUGUCAGAGGUGAAAUUCUUGGAUUUAUUGAAGACUAACUACUGCGAAAGCAUUUGCCAAGGAUGUUUUCAUUAAUCAAGAACGAAAGUUAGGGGAUCGAAGACGAUCAGAUACCGUCGUAGUCUUAACCAUAAACUAUGCCGACUAGGGAUCGGAUGAUGUUAAUUUUUUAAUGACUCAUUCGGCGCCUUACGGGAAACCAAAGUGU
This 557-nucleotide ribosomal RNA is filed under the name uncultured Glomus. Its description in RNAcentral is "SSU rRNA". It matches the Rfam family "Eukaryotic small subunit ribosomal RNA", at positions 546 to 1106 of the family's 1831-position model. Lineage: Eukaryota; Fungi; Glomeromycota; Glomeromycetes; Glomerales; Glomeraceae. The record is from RNAcentral.